Molecule: ribosomal RNA, 492 nt
Filed under: uncultured bacterium
Lineage: Bacteria
Description: bacterial SSU rRNA
Rfam family: Bacterial small subunit ribosomal RNA
Source: RNAcentral
GAUGAACGCUAGCUACAGGCUUAACACAUGCAAGUCGAGGGGCAGCAUGAACUUAGCUUGCUAAGUUUGAUGGCGACCGGCGCACGGGUGAGUAACACGUAUCCAACCUUCCGUUUACUCAGGGAUAGCCUUUCGAAAGAAAGAUUAAUACCCGAUGGCAUAAUUCUUCCGCAUGGUAGAACUAUUAAAGAAUUUCGGUUGUCGAUGGGGAUGCGUUCCAUUAGGCAGUUGGCGGGGUAACGGCCCACCAAACCAACGAUGGAUAGGGGUUCUGAGAGGAAGGUCCCCCACAUUGGAACUGAGACACGGUCCAAAACUCCUACGGGAGGCAGCAGUGAGGAAUAUUGGGUCAAAUGGACGAGAGUCUGAACCAGCCAAGUAGCGUGAAGGAUGACUGCCCUAUGGGUUGUAAACUCUUUUAUACGGGAAUAAAGUUAGCCACGUGUGGCUUUUUGUAUGUACCGUAUGAAUAAGGAUCGGCUAAACUCCGUG